CGAACGAUGAACCCACUUCGGUGGGGGAUUAGUGGCGAACGGGUGAGUAACACGUGGGCAAUCUGCCCUGCACUCUGGGACAAGCCCUGGAAACGGGGUCUAAUACCGGAUACGACCACUUCAGGCAUCUGAUGGUGGUGGAAAGCUCCGGCGGUGCAGGAUGAGCCCGCGGCCUAUCAGCUUGUUGGUGAGGUAACGGCUCACCAAGGCGACGACGGGUAGCCGGCCUGAGAGGGCGACCGGCCACACUGGGACUGAGACACGGCCCAGACUCCUACGGGAGGCAGCAGUGGGGAAUAUUGCACAAUGGGCGAAAGCCUGAUGCAGCGACGCCGCGUGAGGGAUGACGGCCUUCGGGUUGUAAACCUCUUUCAGCAGGGAAGAAGCGAAAGUGACGGUACCUGCAGAAGAAGCGCCGGCUAACUACGUGCCAGCAGCCGCGGUAAUACGUAGGGCGCAAGCGUUGUCCGGAAUUAUUGGGCGUAAAGAGCUCGUAGGCGGCUUGUCGCGUCGGAUGUGAAAGCCCGGGGCUUAACCCCGGGUCUGCAUUCGAUACGGGCAGGCUAGAGUUCGGUAGGGGAGAUCGGAAUUCCUGGUGUAGCGGUGAAAUGCGCAGAUAUCAGGAGGAACACCGGUGGCGAAGGCGGAUCUCUGGGCCGAUACUGACGCUGAGGAGCGAAAGCGUGGGGAGCGAACAGGAUUAGAUACCCUGGUAGUCCACGCCGUAAACGUUGGGAACUAGGUGUGGGCGACAUUCCACGUCGUCCGUGCCGCAGCUAACGCAUUAAGUUCCCCGCC
RNAcentral lists this ribosomal RNA (798 nucleotides) under Streptomyces sp. RNAcentral's name for it is "bacterial SSU rRNA". It matches the Rfam family "Bacterial small subunit ribosomal RNA", at positions 63 to 873 of the family's 1533-position model. Lineage: Bacteria; Bacillati; Actinomycetota; Actinomycetes; Kitasatosporales; Streptomycetaceae. The record is from RNAcentral.